CUGAUUGUCAAAACAGCACUGAAUGAUAGAUGAGGCUUUACGUGGUUUUCCCCCUCAUUUUCAGUGUUGGAUGACCAUGGGCUUUUGCGGCGCUAUAGCGGACAAUCAAUUGUUUUUUGCAAAUAGGAAAAGAACAGACGUUUUACCUCAACUAAGAACCCAUUCGAUCUAGACCUGGGAGCAAUCAUGGUUGACUGACGUGCUAAGGACCAUGCUUGUUUACUGGCGCCAUGCUCUUGACCACUAGGCUACUUGCCACCCCACUUGCCUGCAUCAAUAUGCAACAGUAUAUUUGCAGAGAGUUUCGCAGAAAAAUUCUAUUGGAGGAUGUUCUGUAGGGCAAUGCCUCUAAUCUUUGCCUAUUUUUGUUCUGUUUUUCACGGGAAGUCACCCACUGAGUGAAAAUCGGUAUACUUGUCGUUGUGGAAGGAGCUGCAGCAGAUGACCCAAUGCCAGUUGACAGUGUGGACGUUGGCCUUCCUUGUCGUUGUGGAUGGAGCUGCAGCAGAUGACCCAAUGCCAGCUGACAAUGUGGACGUUGCCCUUGUGAUAGAAGAGCAGAGUUCCCAUUGUCUUGAAAUCACCAUAAAUCCAGAGAAUGCCAGACUUUGAUAAAGUUUGAUGACAAAAUUUGCCCACGAGAAGGACCGUCGCUCCACCUUCCUGUUCAAGAGAGCACAGCACAACAAGGCCUACCCCUCUUCCCUGUCAUCGAUGUCCAACCGGCAAACAUGGUGAGGCGCCUCCUGAAGGUUCGACCACUGGGCAGGGGAUUCCAAUACCUGGUAGACUGGGAGGGUUAUGGCCCAGAGGAGAGGUGCUGUGUCCCCGCCAGGGACAUUCUGGACCCAGACCUCAUCGCUGAGUUCCAAUGUCGGCACCCUGGUCAACCAGGUAUGUGCCCAGUUAGGACGCCAGGUGGCGCCCCUAGAGGGGGGGGGGUACUGUCACACCCUGAUUUGAUUCACCUGUCUUUGUGCUUGUCUCCACCCCCCUCCAGGUGUUGCCCAUCUUCCCCAUUAUCCCCAGUGUACAGUACUUAUCCCUGUGUUCUCUGUUUGUCUGUUGCCAAUUCAUUUUGUUUCGUCAAGUUUUUUCCCUUGCUCCUGUCUGUCUCUUGUUCCUGCUUUCUAGCUUUCCCGGUUUUGACCAUUCUGCCUGCCCUGACCCUGAGCCUGCCUAUUGUUCUGUACCUUGCCAUUCCACCCUGGAUUACUGACCUCUGCCUGCCCUGACCUUGAGCCUGCCUGACUUUCUGUACCUUUCGGACUCUGCUUUGGACUACUGACCUCUGCAUGCCCUUGACCUGUCGUUUGCAUGCCCCCCUGUUUCAGUAAUCAACUUUUGUUACUUCGAAACUGUCUGCAUCUGGGCCUUCUCUUGAGCCUUGACACCAAGUCAGAACCGUAGGAUAAAUAAAGGGGGCAUAUGAGCAGACAAUGAAAGCUCUUACAAUAUUCAAUGAUGGCAUUUCUCUAAAACAGGCUAUAUGUGGACCACUAAGUCAGAACAGUAGGCUAAAUUGAUGGGGAAAGGGACCAAAUUAUUAGGGUGAGGCACAUGGGCUACUAACAGCUUACUACACAACAUACACUUAGUAUUACUUUCUUAGCUACAGUCUACAUAUCUCCCUGGCAUAUUACAUAAUUUAUGUAGCGGCAUUCAAGACAUUUUUGGACCUUGUUGUGCUGUGCUCACUUGAACAUGAAAGUGGUGCGAUGGUCCUUUGUGGGAAAAUGUUGUCAUUAAAGCCCAUAUUCCCUGGAUUUAUUGUGCUUUCAAGACAACUGGGAACUCUGAAAAAAAACAAGGUUGAAUAAUGACGUCAGUGAUAUUCAGGUCGAAGAUCUAGAAAGAGGCCUGAGUUCCCAACUUGGAAUUGUGAGUUGGAUGACCGUUCAAAACUUUUUUUUCCCAGUCUGAGCUCGUUUUUUUCAGAGAUCCCAGUUGUCUUGAACUCACUGAAGUCUGAGAUUUUCCAGUUCCAAAUUUCCAGUUGUUUUGAACGCGGCAGAAGUCAUGAUGGAUUGACAGCAUGGCCAAUGUAUUCAACAUUUUAGGCUAAUAAAUAACUCAUUCACUCGUGCUGUAUUCAACCUUUUCUGGGCCAUGGUGUUGCAUGUGAAUGUUUAUCCUUUUAAGCUUGAAAAGAGACCUUUAAACUCAAACUUGGACCACACACCCACUCCACUGAAUAGCAGGCUAGUGAAUGCUUUGCAACGCUUGCAGUUAGCUACUGAUUCCUUCCAAACCACUCAUUGUUGAAUAAGCGAUUUCCAACUUGUUGUGUAAUGUUUAUGUCCAAUGGCCAAUGAGUAAAGAUUUGUAUCUAUUUUUAUCUGAUCUUGAGCCCUCUUGGAUGGGCACUUCUAAUGUAACUCUAUGGCAGCACCCAAGGGACUUGAAUUACGGAUGCACAACCACUAUGGAUGCACAACCACUGAGGGACA
RNAcentral lists this long non-coding RNA (2450 nucleotides) under Salmo salar (Atlantic salmon). RNAcentral describes it as "lncRNA (ENSSSAG00000096797.1)". The record is from RNAcentral. Lineage: Eukaryota; Metazoa; Chordata; Actinopteri; Salmoniformes; Salmonidae.